GGGUCAGUAGGUUGGUCGUGCCACCGGUACGUACUGGUCUCACUGAUUCCUCCUUCCUGAAGAACCGUAAUGCCAUUAAUUUGGUGUUGCGGGGAAACAGGACUGUUACUUUGAAAAAAUUAGAGUGUUUAAAGCAAGCUAACGCUUGAAUACAUUAGCAUGUAAUAAUGAAAUAGGACGAUCGAUCCUAUUUUGUUGGUUUCUAGGAUUGACGUA
Molecule: ribosomal RNA, 216 nt
Filed under: Glomeromycotina sp.
Lineage: Eukaryota; Fungi; Glomeromycota
Description: partial small subunit ribosomal RNA
Rfam family: Eukaryotic small subunit ribosomal RNA (bases 40-216)
Source: RNAcentral